GCCAGGUAUGGUGGCACAUGCCUGUAGUCCCAGCAGCUUGGGAGGCUGAGGCAGGAGGAUUGCAAGUUCAAAGCUAGCUUCAGCAACUUAGUGAGACCCUGCUCU
RNAcentral lists this small RNA (105 nucleotides) under Marmota monax (woodchuck). The record is from RNAcentral. Lineage: Eukaryota; Metazoa; Chordata; Mammalia; Rodentia; Sciuridae.